AGGUUUUUACAGAGGAAAGAAAAUGUGCUUCCCUAAUGAAACUUGUUUUCUGUACUGAAUUUGAAUAUCCUGUUUGCAGACAUGGAGGUGGAAGAGAUGGUUGACUUGUUUGCUUGCUUUUUUAACAGUGCAGGGUGAAGGAAAGUGUGAUGAAGGUGAAUUGUGUAACUUAGCUGGAAUCCUGGCAGAGAUUUACCACUAAAGAAAUAUUGAGGAGCAUCAGCCACAGCCAUGGUUCCCAGGGAGCUGUUUAUACAGGUACACAAGACUUAGGACCAAGAAAAAGAAGGACAAAGAAACAAAGGGAUUUGUUUGAAGGCAAGCUGGAAGCCUUAUCUUCCUCACUCCUGCUUCAGUACUCUAUUCACAAGCAGGUUUUAUUCCCUCCUCCCCCUACAAAAACACUCUGGAUUUUGUAAAGAAUGAUAUGAAUGCACAGAUCUCACUUAUGAAUUUACUAAUAUAGAUUACAUUUCUGAAACAAGUUUGCCCUCUAUUCAGCAUUUGGGGGGAAACAGAGGUACAUUCAUUCUGUGAGAACCUCUUCAAAGGUCCAUUCACAACCAUUCAUGGGAAGUGCUACAUUGCUGGGCAUGUGUGAGAGAAAAAGCACUUUAAUUGAAUGCAUGAGGAUCUAACUGACUGCCAGAUUGUGACUGGCCUCUGUGCAGGCCCAAAGUUGCACAUGUCCUGCUGGGAGCAAGAAACUGCUGUAGAGACAAGCCAUCCUCUUACUCUGAGCUGCCCAGCACACCAGGCACUGUGGAAUAAGGACAAUCUGUCAAGCUGGCCAUGGGAACUUAAAACAAGGCUUCUUGCAAUAAAGAUGGUUCAUUUGGCUGAAGGACCUCCUAAAUAUGGCUUCUGUCUGUGUACAGAGCUGUGAGCUGUAGGUACACUGACUGGAGCUGAAUGCUUUCAGGUUGGUGUAGGAAAUGCUGUGUGUUAAAUCUGGUCUGGGGUACAAAACUACUGUCAUGUUAUUUUUAAAUGUGGACUCCAGUUUCACUCUACAUUUGCUUGCUUGUUGUAUAUUAUAUGUUUCAUUUUCUGUCCUUCCAUUAUUAAAAGCUGAUGUACUUACAUUUUCCUUGAAAAAUACCCUGAUGGAUACUGACUAAUAAUAUAGUGCAUCCAUAAAGAAGAUGAAGAGGAUGGGCAAAGGUAGCAGGGUCUUUGGGGAUGCACUUAAUGCUGUUCAUUAAAAAUAUGUGAAUCUGCUUUAGGAGGUUUGAUAAACAUUGAUUUUGCUUAUCGAGAGCAAGAGAUAAAAAACAGUCCCCCUCCUCUUUUUCUGCAAAAUGAAAGGAACUGAUGUAAUUGUUCUAACUCCAAUACAAUGAAGUGCUAUUGGAGCAGUGCCAGCAGUGUAUUUCCUGCCAGUGUCUGCUCCUCCAAUCAGUUUAAUUAUGAGCAAUUGUUUGGGUUGUGCUGUGAAGAAAUAUUAGAGAAUGGAAAAAAAGAACAUACUUUGGGUCUCUAUUUUGUAACUGAUUCAUGGUUUGGCAGAAACCAUUAACUAGAUGUUAUGCUUUACAACACUGUAAUAGUAUCAUUGUGGACCGACCUUGCCAUAUAAGCACAUACAGCACAAAUCCACCGUUUAUUUUGACAAGGCUCUAGUUGAAGCAUUUGAAAAAUGCUGAAAUAACAUCAGCUAUUGGCUAGAAUUUUUGGUUAAUCAUGUGCCUACUCUUAUCCAAGGGAUCUAAGCAGGCUAUGAAAAACUGGCUAUUGUUAAUGUCUCCUAUGUUUAUCUGUCAUGUCAAAUUUUUAUAAUAAUUUUUCUUAUGCUUGACACACUUCUCACGUCUUGCUGCUGCAUGCAGAGGCAUUUUGUAAUCCUAGAUCAGUUCCUUUGGAGGUGCAGACUGGGAAAAGAUGGUUCUUCUCCCAGCUUGCAGGAUUGCUCUCCUUCCAACUGUUUUUCUUGGGAUGAUGAAGACUUAAUUAAGCUAACAGGAUUUCUCUGGAAGCAGAUCCUGAUUAAUGUGUAUUUCAACUUGUGUGGAAUGGUUUCAAUGCAGACUAGAGGGGGUGUUUACUGGGGCAGUGCCUCUGUGCUGAAUAGUCUUCGUGCAGAGAUCUUGCAGGACAAAACCCAAAAUGUCUAUUAGUGCUGCUCAGCAGUCUGGUCAGCUGCCAGGACGGGAGCCAGCCGGGCACAGCACUCAGCUGUGGACGGGAGGAGGUUCCCACAUUGCCCAGCCUGAUGUAGCCACCCCUGGUGGCAUCCCUCUCCAAGCAGAGAAUGUUAGAUUUCAGAUGUUGCCAGAUACUAUUGAUCAGCAAAAUAGAAAGAAAUCCCUUGGAAUACAGAAAACAAAGAAUUUGUAGUACUUGGAGCAAGCGCUAGUUUCAGGGGUUCAUGCCUAGAUCUGAUAUGGCAUGGCACAAGAGCAUGCUCUCUCCAGGAAUGUCAUAUGAACUAGCCCAGUCCAGAUCCUCUUCCAACAGAAGACAAAAGAUGCACUUGUUUUCAUAUUUGCUAAUGGAAAAUGUUCAUUCUACCCAUCCCCCUCCUGUGAGCUGUGUACAUCCUUUUGUUUUCUGAUACCAGAACAUAUCGUGGAUAACUAACGUGUCUGUUCUUGUACUGAGUAAUACGGGAUUAAAGCAAAUUGUGUAAAUGCUGCAGGUGGCAUUUUGUAUCUCUGCCAGGUUAUGCAGUCUUUAUAUUAAGCAUAUUUCUUAGAUGUAGCUUAAGCCUGCAGAGUUCAAGGGGUACAAGGGUCCAUCUGUUUGCAAAAGUGUGGGGAUUUUUUUAUCUGCAACUUGGGCUGCUCCAAUUCUGCUGUUAAAAUGUGAGCAAUGGUAAUUUCUAGCAAGAGAGCUCUGAAUUUUAACAGAGUUCAGGAAUAAAAGUGAGAGGAACAGAACUCCUGUGUUUAGAUCCUAUAUGUUUAGUACUUUCUUACAUAUCUGCUUAGACUGAAGAUCAUUGGAGAGAUCAUAUUUUGCCCGGUGCUGUGCUGCACCUCAAUUACCUAAGCAUGUCUUGCAAAAUAAUUUUCCAUCAGGAAGCAGUAUUAUCUGUGAAUACGGAUCCUUCCCAUGUAGAAAUGUUGCAGAAGGAGCAGUAAUCUUGGCUGUUCCAGGAAACAGAGGGCAAAUGAAACUGCUGUUUAGAAAAGUAGGAUCAAGAGCAUAAUUGGAGAUAAGGAGAUAAGAUCAUGUGAUGCACUGUAGAUGAUACCAGAGACGAAGAGAUUAAAAUCACCCUAGUCUAGGUCAAUUGAAUAGAAUAAACCCAUGAAAUACUGUUUUAUUCUAGCCACUGACAUACUAAUAAAUAAGGGCAGAGGUGGGUCUCAUAAAGAAAUUUCCAUUACCACUGAUGUUUUUAAGAGCUGUAUUUUGUCUAUAAAUAAGAUUUGUUAUGUUGCCAGAUUUAUAACUUCAAUUUUUUUCCAGCCAUAUUCUUAGUUACCCAGAAGAGUGUUGUUGAUUUGAGAGCAUGGCUGUGACCUGCUCUGCUGCUCUCUUCUGCUGUACCCUCAGAAAUGGUCAAAAUGAGAUGAAUGCUUACCUGCUCCUUUUACCAGUCUCAUUAUACUGCUUAACAUUACUUGCUGAUUGGAAGGUUUUUGUGUCAGGGGAAGUUGUGUCCCCCUGACAUCCUCUGG
Long non-coding RNA from Cyanistes caeruleus (blue tit), 3626 nucleotides. RefSeq lists it as uncharacterized. Lineage: Eukaryota; Metazoa; Chordata; Aves; Passeriformes; Paridae. The record is from RefSeq and is a predicted model, not a curated record.